GCGGGUAUCGUAUAAUGGUUUAUUAUAUUAGCCUUCCAAGCUGAGGAUACGGGUUCGAUUCCCGUUACCCGCU
Molecule: transfer RNA, 73 nt
Filed under: Patescibacteria group bacterium
Lineage: Bacteria
Also listed under: 2 other names
Description: tRNA-Gly
Rfam family: tRNA
About the family: Transfer RNA (tRNA) molecules are approximately 80 nucleotides in length. Their secondary structure includes four short double-helical elements and three loops (D, anti-codon, and T loops). Further hydrogen bonds mediate the characteristic L-shaped molecular structure. tRNAs have two regions of fundamental functional importance: the anti-codon, which is responsible for specific mRNA codon recognition, and the 3' end, to which the tRNAs corresponding amino acid is attached (by aminoacyl-tRNA synthetases). tRNAs cope with the degeneracy of the genetic code in two manners: having more than one tRNA (with a specific anti-codon) for a particular amino acid; and 'wobble' base-pairing, i.e. permitting non-standard base-pairing at the 3rd anti-codon position.
Source: RNAcentral